UCUUUUGACCUUCGGAUCCAGGUAGGGGAUACCCCGCUGAACUUUAACCAUAUCAAAUAAGCGGGAGGAAAAGAAACCAACCAGGGGAUUGCCCUAGUAACGGGCGAGUGAAGCGGCAACCAGCUCAAAUUUGAAAUCUGGCCCCCCCAUUGGGGGUCCGAGUUGUAAUUUGCAGAGGGGGCUUUGGCAUGGGCGGCGGUCUAAGUUCCUUGGAACAGGACAUCGCAGAGGGUGAGAAUCCCGUAUGUGGGCGCCUGCCUUUGCCGUGUAAAGCCCCUUCGACGAGUCGAGUUGUUUGGGAAUGCAGCUCUAAAUGGGAGGUAAAUUUCUUCUAAAACUAAAUACCGGGCCAGAGACCGAUAGCGCACAAGUAGAGUGAUCGAAAGAAGAAAAGUACUUUGGGAAAGAGAGUCAAAAUAAGCACGUGAAAUUGUUGAAAGGGAAGCGCUUGCAGCCCGACGUGCCCGCAGUUGCUCACCCCGGCUUUUGCCUGGGGCCCUUUUUUGUGGGCAGGCCAGCAUCAAGGGGGGGCGGUCGGAUAAAGGCCUCUGUCCAAGUUU
Molecule: ribosomal RNA, 560 nt
Filed under: Ascomycota sp.
Lineage: Eukaryota; Fungi; Ascomycota
Description: eukaryotic LSU rRNA
Rfam family: Eukaryotic large subunit ribosomal RNA
Source: RNAcentral